AAGUAUGUUAGAUAGUCCUAGAGAUGCAGAAAUUGAAAGAGAAGUCAAAUAAGAAUGUGAGGUGGCUGAUGAGGGAGGAAUUGAUAAAUAAAAAGAAGAAGAAAAAUGCACAAUACAGGAUAAAGAGAUAGAAGCAAGAAUAGAAGAAGCUGAGGUGAAAAUUAUAUGUGGGAAAAGAACCAGAAUGCAAUAUAAAGAUUAUAUAGUUUUGGAUGAAGCUUCAAAUUCAAUGAGCCGUUUAGGCGUAGAUGUCCAACUACAAGAUCUUCAAUAAAAUGAUAGUCCUGCACCUAGCAACAAGGUUGAUAAAAGAGGAGAAAUAGAUGAAUUACUGGAUGAGAUUUAUGUCUUGCUCAAUACUAUCAAGCUGAAGAGAAUAUGGAAGAAAAACCUUUA
RNAcentral lists this long non-coding RNA (396 nucleotides) under Lathyrus oleraceus (garden pea). RNAcentral's name for it is "Pisum sativum (pea) long non-coding RNA (PSAT_LNC036361)". Lineage: Eukaryota; Viridiplantae; Streptophyta; Magnoliopsida; Fabales; Fabaceae. The record is from RNAcentral.